GUUUGUUUGACGAGUUCCAAAUAGGAGGAAACGUGCGUCCUGGAU
RNAcentral lists this non-coding RNA (45 nucleotides) under Schistosoma mansoni. Lineage: Eukaryota; Metazoa; Platyhelminthes; Trematoda; Strigeidida; Schistosomatidae. The record is from RNAcentral.